Rattus norvegicus (Norway rat) is the source of this 127-nucleotide small nuclear RNA. Ensembl annotates it as U2 spliceosomal RNA. Lineage: Eukaryota; Metazoa; Chordata; Mammalia; Rodentia; Muridae. The record is from Ensembl.
AUCGCUUCUCGGCCUUUUGGCUAAGAUCAAGUGUAGUAUUUUUGUUCACACAUAAUCGUAAAAAAAUAAAGUGAGUAUAAAUGCACUUUUGAAUAAUGGCUUUCUUAACAGAUAUGUUUUACUUUUU